This 301-nucleotide ribosomal RNA is filed under the name uncultured bacterium. RNAcentral describes it as "partial 16S ribosomal RNA". It matches the Rfam family "Bacterial small subunit ribosomal RNA", at positions 509 to 807 of the family's 1533-position model. The record is from RNAcentral.
CAGUCGCCGCGGUAAUACGUAGGGUGCAAGCGUUAAUCGGAAUUACUGGGCGUAAAGCGUGCGCAGGCGGUUUGUUAAGACAGAUGUGAAAUCCCCGGGCUCAACCUGGGAACUGCAUUUGUGACUGGCAGGCUAGAGUAUGGCAGAGGGGGGUGGAAUUCCGCGUGGAGCGGUGAAAUGCGUUGAGAUCGGAAAGAACACCAACGGCGAAAGCACUCUGCUGGGCCGACACUGACACUGAGAGACGAAAGCUAGGGGAGCAAAUGGGAUUAGAUACCCCCGUAGUCCCUGUCUCUUAUAC